GCCCCGAUGGUGAAAUCGGUAGACACAGCGGACUUAAAAUCCGCCGCCACCAACAUGGCGUGCCGGUUCAAGUCCGGCUCGGGGCACCA
Molecule: transfer RNA, 89 nt
Filed under: Aquabacterium commune
Lineage: Bacteria; Pseudomonadati; Pseudomonadota; Betaproteobacteria; Burkholderiales; Sphaerotilaceae
Also listed under: 1 other name
Description: tRNA-Leu
Rfam family: tRNA
About the family: Transfer RNA (tRNA) molecules are approximately 80 nucleotides in length.
Source: RNAcentral